AGCGAACGCUGGCGGCAGGCUUAACACAUGCAAGUCGAACGGGCAUCUUCGGAUGUCCGUGGCAGACGGGUGAGUAACACGUGGGAACGUACCCUUCGGUUCGGAAUAACUCAGGGAAACUUGAGCUAAUACCGGAUACGCCCUUUUGGGGAAAGGUUUACUGCCGAAGGAUCGGCCCGCGUCUGAUUAGCUUGUUGGUGGGGUAACGGCCUACCAAGGCGACGAUCAGUAGCUGGUCUGAGAGGAUGAUCAGCCACACUGGGACUGAGACACGGCCCAGGCCCCCUGGGGGAGGAGGGGGGGGGGAAUUUGGAAAAGGGGGCGAAGUCUUGACCCACCCGGGCGGGGGGGGGGAUGAGGCCUUGGGGGUUGAAAAUCUUUUUUGUCCGGGACGAUAAUGACGGUACCGGAAAAAUAACCCCCGGCUAACUUCGUG
Molecule: ribosomal RNA, 436 nt
Filed under: uncultured bacterium
Lineage: Bacteria
Description: partial 16S ribosomal RNA
Rfam family: Bacterial small subunit ribosomal RNA
Source: RNAcentral